This 253-nucleotide ribosomal RNA is filed under the name uncultured bacterium. RNAcentral's name for it is "partial 16S ribosomal RNA". It matches the Rfam family "Bacterial small subunit ribosomal RNA", at positions 524 to 776 of the family's 1533-position model. The record is from RNAcentral.
UACAGAGGGUGCGAGCGUUGUUCGGAAUUAUUGGGCGUAAAGGGCGCGUAGGCGGUGCGGUAAGUCACCUGUGAAAUCUCCUGGCUCAACUGGGAGUCUGCAGGCGAAACUGCCGUGCUGGAGUGUGGGAGAGGUGAGUGGAAUUCCCGGUGUAGCGGUGAAAUGCGUAGAUAUCGGGAGGAGCACCUGUGGCGAAAGCGGCUCACUGGACCACAACUGACGCUGAGGCGCGAAAGCUAGGGGAGCAAACAGG